RNAcentral lists this non-coding RNA (78 nucleotides) under Coprococcus sp. CAG:782. RNAcentral describes it as "Fluoride riboswitch aptamer (crcB RNA motif)". It matches the Rfam family "Fluoride riboswitch aptamer (crcB RNA motif)". Lineage: Bacteria; Bacillati; Bacillota; Clostridia; Lachnospirales; Lachnospiraceae. RNAcentral also lists the same sequence under 1 other name. The record is from Rfam by way of RNAcentral.
UAUAGACCAGGGAAUGAGGCACUCCCUUGACAAGAUUUGUCUAAACCGCCCGAAAUGGCUGAUGGCUUCUGCAUUUUA